Long non-coding RNA from Diabrotica virgifera virgifera (western corn rootworm), 1644 nucleotides. RefSeq lists it as uncharacterized. NCBI's taxonomy places the organism in Eukaryota, Metazoa, Arthropoda, Insecta, Coleoptera, Chrysomelidae. The record is from RefSeq and is a predicted model, not a curated record. The transcript is spliced from 3 exons.
UGUUAAGUUGGUUUACUUCGAAUUUAAUAUGCAUUACUCUGGUAUUUCUCCAGUUUUCUAAGAAGGUUGGUGAUUUUGAAUUGGGGUUAUGAUGAAUUUAACCCAAAGGCAAUGUGUGUUUAUUUAUGUGGCAAAAUUCCAGGCACCAUAAAAAUUUGAGUUUCUUCCUGUUGCCCAUGGAUGAAAAUCGGUUUGCAGAAUGAAAAGAAAUUGUUCAAUGUGAUUAACUUUUAAAUAUGCACUUUACAUCUUGAGGAGCAGGCCUUUGCAGAAAUACUGAAAAGCGGGUUGCAAAACAACGCAAAAUAAAAUAAACGAAAUAUGUCUUGAGAUUAAAGAUUCAAGUUGAAGGUGUGUUCUUUCUUAAACUGGAAUGAUGUAAUUCUGUAGGCACAUCUAUUGAGAAGUUACAACCAGUGGCAAAGUGCCUUAAGGGAAUCUAUGACAUAUAUAAUUGAAGGUAUCAGCAUUGGCUCUACAGCCCAUGGUGGGUCUUGGCCUGUUCCAGAAUCAGCUUCCACUCUUUCCUAUCCUGUGCUUGGCUUUCCAAUUUCUCACUCGAGCAUGAAUUUUUGGUAUAUAUGGGAUUAUAUUGUGAUAACGACCAGAUCUAUGAAAGAAUAGUAUGUUGUUAAAGAGGAUUGUGGUGACACUAUUCAUGAAUAUCUGAUAAUAUUGGUUAAUGUGAAUGGAGUCCAAAAUGGGGUUUAGGUUGUUAUAUAAAAAACUAGGUCAUUAGCAUAUGGAAGUAGGGUGACAUUAUCUGGUAUUAAAUUAUGUGAAUGAGGAGAAUUAAACCUAAAAACUCUAUUUAUUCUGCCAAUCAAUAUGAUUUUAAUAUAUUUUAAUAUAAAACAUAUGUUAUUCUUUCUAGGGACAUCUCCUCUGAAGGAAUUACAAUUAUUUGCCAGUAUGUCAAAUGAAUUUUCAACAGCAGUCAUACUUUCAUGAAUUUAUUGAUGAAAAUAAAACUAGGUACAUGAUUUAUUAUUUACUUCCAAGGGAUUCUAAGAUACUAUGUGUAAAAAGUCCAAUAUGCAGUGAUGAGCAUGCUAAUAACUGGCAAAAUAUGGGAUAUAACGCCAAAGAUGGGAAACAUGGGAUGCAUUCUGAAGUAAAAAGAGAUGAAACUGAGAGAAAUUAUCGAUAUAAACAUAUAAAUUAACAUUACAUUACAUAGUUUCCCACCUUUAGACAUAUCAGAUGAGAAUUAGAACUGUCACUGUGCCAGGAGAAUUUUAUAAAAUACUCCUGUCACAGAGAUCUAAAGGUGGGAAACUAUGUAAUGUUAUCGUCGGCUAAGAGUGUUAACCUGCUAACUCCAUUUUUCACUGUGAGUGAUAUUGGGGUAGUUUCUAGGUCUGUGUACCUUCAUACCAUGUCCCACAAGCCCGCUGGUUCCACUGUAGUUUAGAGAUAGCUAUUUCUAAACUACAUUGGUGUCGGCGGGUUUGUGGGGUGGUGUAUGAAAAUACACGGACCCAGAAACUAGCCCAAUAUCACUCAAAGUGAAAAAUGGAGUUAGCAGGUUAAAACUCUUAUCCAAGGUUAUGUUAAUUUAUUCGUUUAUAACGAUAAGUUCCACUUCUACCAGUUUCAUCUCUUUUUAUCUCACAAGUUAAUAUGUUUUCCAUCUUUUGCGUU